UGGGGAAUAUUGCACAAUGGGCGCAAGCCUGAUGCAGCCAUGCCGCGUGUAUGAAGAAGGCCUUCGGGUUGUAAAGUACUUUCAGCGGGGAGGAAGGCGAUAAGGUUAAUAACCUUGUCGAUUGACGUUACCCGCAGAAGAAGCACCGGCUAACUCCGUGCCAGCAGCCGCGGUAAUACGGAGGGUGCAAGCGUUAAUCGGAAUUACUGGGCGUAAAGCGCACGCAGGCGGUCUGUCAAGUCGGAUGUGAAAUCCCCGGGCUCAACCUAGGAACUGCAUUCGAAACUGGCAGGCUAGAGUCUUGUAGAGGGGGGUAGAAUUCCAGGUGUAGCGGUGAAAUGCGUAGAGAUCUGGAGGAAUACCGGUGGCGAAGGCGGCCCCCUGGACAAAGACUGACGCUCAGGUGCGAAAGCGUGGGGAGCAAACA
Molecule: ribosomal RNA, 427 nt
Filed under: uncultured bacterium
Lineage: Bacteria
Description: partial 16S ribosomal RNA
Rfam family: Bacterial small subunit ribosomal RNA
Source: RNAcentral